AUGACGGAGUCGAUGGUGCGCAACAAGCCGGGGAUGGCGAGCGUCAAGGACAUGCCGGUGCUGCAGGACGGGCCGCCGCCGGGCGGGUUCGCGCCCGUGCGCUACGCGCGCCGCAUCCCCAACAAGGGCCCCAGCGCCAUCGCCCUCUUCCUCACCACCUUCGGCGCCUUCUCCUGGGGCAUGUACCAGGUCGGGCAGGGGAACAAGGUCCGCCGUGCACUGAAGGAGGAGAAAAUUGCUGCCCGUAGUGCUAUACUGCCGAUGCUCCAAGCUGAAGAGGAUGAAAGAUUUGUCAAAGAAUGGAAGAAGUACCUUGAGGAGGAAGCGAGGAUCAUGAAAAAUGUUCCUGGAUGGAAAGUUGGUGAGAGCGUGUACAAUUCUGGGAAAUGGAUGCCUCCUGCAACUGGUGAGCUGCGUCCGGAGGUUUGGUAA
Molecule: ribosomal RNA, 432 nt
Filed under: Triticum aestivum (bread wheat)
Lineage: Eukaryota; Viridiplantae; Streptophyta; Magnoliopsida; Poales; Poaceae
Description: partial small subunit ribosomal RNA
Source: RNAcentral